UACAGAGGUCUCAAGCGUUGUUCGGAUUCAUUGGGCGUAAAGGGUGCGUAGGUGGCGGGGUAAGUCAGGUGUGAAAUUUCGGAGCUUAACUCCGAAACUGCAUUUGAUACUGCCUUGCUUGAGGACUGGAGAGGAGACUGGAAUUUACGGUGUAGCAGUGAAAUGCGUAGAGAUCGUAAGGAAGACCAGUGGCGAAGGCGGGUCUCUGGACAGUUCCUGACACUGAGGCACGAAGGCCAGGGGAGCAAACGGG
This 253-nucleotide ribosomal RNA is filed under the name uncultured bacterium. RNAcentral's name for it is "partial 16S ribosomal RNA". It matches the Rfam family "Bacterial small subunit ribosomal RNA", at positions 524 to 776 of the family's 1533-position model. The record is from RNAcentral.